UUUCAAAGGAAUCUGCCCAAAUACUCUUGGGCUCAUCUACUUAGGAUAAACUUGACCCAGGUCUGAGUCUCCUGCUCCUUCCUCAUUAGGUUGUUGGCUUUAGCGUGAGAGAUCUGUGCCUUGGGUCUCUUUUGCAGCUCUGCCCUUCAAACCCGUGACCUAAUUGUUGUAGCCUUCUAGCUGGGGAACAUGGAGGUCUUCCAAGGUGGUUACACCUUCUGGCUAUUGCCGCAUCCACAUGCCCUGAGCUAGCUGAUUUUAAGUUGACUUCUGAGUCUGAAAGGAUGACUGGCUCCCAAAGCAGUUAGCAAGUGCCAGCCAACUCCACAAACUUAUAAUUGCCUUCUUACCCAUAUUGUUUAAGUGCUAGAACUCUAGGAGAACCCAAAUGUUUCUCCUCCACUCUGUACCACAUCCAGAUGCAACAGAGGUGAGUCUUAAUACCCAACUUGAUGCAGUUAUCACAGUGAUUAUCACCACCCCAUUUACCAACAGCAUCACAAUACUUUCUGCUCUCAAGCUAUUGUCGUUCCAGACUCUUAGAGAGCCUACUUUCUAUAGGCUUUCUACUGUCUUAGCUCGGCUUCCUUAAAAACAGAGCCCAAGACCAAAAGUUUAGUGCAAGCCAUGUAUUUGGGACUUUAUCCCCUAUAGCAGGAGUGAGGGAACCAGACAAAAAUGAAAAGGAAAUCAUUGAAGUUUGUCAUGGGCAGUGUGAGCUUGACUCUGCUGAAACCUUCAAGCAUGCUUUGUAGCAUUGUCAGCCAGAAGCUUUGGAAGCAGGGACCCUAAUCAAAUGAGUAUUUGCCUUCCAUUGGUAGAUGGUGGUUCUUGGGUAUUAGCCUGAGAGCUAUAGGUCUGCGGCAAGAAGUGGAGAGUUUAACCCUAGUCUUGUUCCCUCUGUAUCCAUCUCUGCUUCUAUGGAACUAUAGCUAAAAUCAGCAAUUGGCAGAGGGUAUAUAAGGCAACUGACACUAUAGAAGCAUCUACAACUUCAGGUUUCUUAAUAAACACUUGAAUGAGUGACAGGCUACCAGGUUUUACCCUUGUUACUCUUGCUUGAUCUGUUAUGGUUGGCUUGAAUAAGAAUGUCCUCUUGGCUGUGUACGCUAUGUAAGCUAGAGGAGAAAUCAAUGAGUGUUAUUAGAAUGCGGUAGACAUUACAGCAGGAAGUACUUAACGUCAAGGCCUUCUACUUGUUAAGUGAAGACAUAAAAGAAACAUCACCAAAAUUGUGAUCUAGAGACAGGGCAGGCUUGCUUAGAAUGAUUAAUGAAUUCAGCACCAUUGGUGUGUGCCCAACCACUGUUAUAUUUAACUGAAGUGUCUAGGGGUAAAGAUGUUUUAAAUACAUCUCACCCUGUCUACCAGGAGUGGAAGGAAACUACCAGACAACUAGGGGACUAGAAGGACUCUGCACACAGCAGCACCUAAGGUGGAGGAGCCCCUUCACGGGUGGGUGUAUUACCUACUAUGGUUUGGGGGGGUGAUGGGUUGAUUCCAUAGAUUUACCAGAAAAGGAGAGAGGCUGAGUUCUGUUCUUGUGGACAUAUCUAAAUGACUUGUCUGUCAGACAGUGGAGUUGGACUACACCUUAUGCUUUAGAAGGAGGUGAAGGAGAAAUAACCAAGGUCCCUGGGGUCCUAAUGUGGCCCUUCCCAGAGGCUCUGCUUUGGGAAGAUGAUUGAGGAGGUAUGUAUGAAGAGGGCCCUGGAGAUGCAGAGGUCCUGGGCUUCCCUCCCCACCCCCCAACCUAUGUGUGGAGCUGGCCUAAGAUGGGAGAGAGCAGCAGGGUAAGAAGAGGCUAGAACUGGGACAAAGAUUCUCACCUCGUAGCAACUUUCUUCUCUAAGCUCUGCCUGCCUAUUCUGAGCCUCGCUCCUUCACAAGCAGGGUGGCUAGGAUCUCAGUGGAGUGGCUGUCCUGGAAUAAGUAACACUAGUCAACUGGCCAAAGUCUGUGCUUAUCUGAGUCAUGCUUUUCCCCUCAGCACUUGCUGCUUACUCUCUCAGGGACUGGGUAUUCCUUGGGAGCUCAUGGAAGGGCCCUGCAAUUGGGGUACCUCUGUGCCCAGGCUCUGGGAUGGGAAGUGGUGUGAAGCACCUUGGGCCUCCAACUGCAUUCCUUAGUCCACUAGGACUAAGGCUGUUGGUGCUGGAACUCGUCUAGAUCACUGCCUGUUGCCUGCCUGCCCACUUCCAUAGGGUAAACAAACUUUCAUGCAUGUGGACAUAAGUGUAAGUAUUAUAAACACAUUUCUUGCCUUAUUGCACUGGCUAUGGCCUCUAACAUGGUGUUGAAUAAAAGUUGAUAUUAAAUGGUUUUCUCCUAUGAUUGGAAGGCAACUCUUUCAGAAUUAAGGAUUGUUCAAGCUGUGGCUUUUUCACAAACAUCCUUUCAGGUUGAGAAAGUUUUCUUACUCCCAGUUUGUUCAAUUAUAAUAAAUGGGUAUUAAAUUGACAUGCUUUUCUGCAUUUCCUGAGAUUAUUUCUUAGUAUGGUGAAUUACUUUUUAAAAACUAACCUGGCAUUCCUAGAAUAGGUUCACAUGGUCACGAUGUAUUUUUACAUCUGCCAAAUUUGAUUUGCUAAGUUUAAGGGUCUUUGCAACACCUUAGAAAAUGAAAAGAUAGUUUCAUUUUCUCAUAACAUCCUUUUCAGUAACAUCAGGGUUUUUCUGGCCUCAGCAAGUAGGAAAGUGUUUUUCUGAGUUUAUGGAAGAUUGCUUCCAGUGUCUGAUAUGAGGUGGAACCUAUAAACAGGAGAAAUGGCAUCUUUCUUGCAGGACUGGACUAAGUGAAAUAAACAUGCAAGAAACACUAGUGAGAAAAUGGCGAGAGGUCCAAAGAGACUGGAGAGUCCUCACGCUGCAAUGUAGGUCUGACCUCAAAGGAACAGAAGGUAGAGUGAGUCUAAGCCAAGGCUGCUUGUUGGGAUCCCAUAUCCCAGGAACAGACCUGCCUUAGUAUCCCUAGCAUGAUUGGUCACUGCUGGGACUAAGCACAAGAAGUGUGGCCUUGGUAAAAUGCGGUGAAAGAUCUUGGAGCCCAGCAGUGAGGGAUCACCAUCAGCACGCUCCCUGCCAUCAGAUCUGGGGUGUAUGCUCAUGGCUGUCCCAGAACCCUACCUGUGUCAUGCUUGUCUCAUGGCCUGGGGGUUAAAGGGCCGACGUAAUGGACUGAUGCACUGUUGGUUGCUCUAGACCAUCUCUCCCAGCACUGAGCUGAAGCAGAUACUUGGGAAGUGAGGGAGAACUGAACAGCGUCUUGUCUAGUGUGAACACAAGAUCUUUAAGGUUCUAGGAAGUUAGAUUCCUGCAUCAGGGCUGGGUGUUCUUCUGUCACUUGCAGUCAGGACAAAGAUAGUUAUGGUGCAAGCUAUGGACAGAAGUUCAGGAUGGUCCUAAGAGAUGACAUGCCCUGGCUCUUCGGCUUGGAAAGAAAGUCUUGCUGGCAAGAGCAACAACUCCUACAGAAAGUACAUCUUGGUUUUGCUGAAAUGUUCUGCUUGGCAUGAACUUGAACUAAUGGGACUAAAUGAAUGUCCAGGUUCCAGAGAACUUUGUAAAACAAAACUGAGGCCCUAUUCAACCCGCGUUUAUACAGUAAUACUUGAGUAUCUCAAGUGGUGAGGCAUUAAUAACUGUCUUUUUCUCAAGGGUCUCCUAAAAUUGCAUCUCCGUUUGCCUCUCCUCAGGGGCCAGAACUAGCUUAGCCAGGUGCUAGUUUAAAUGAGAGUGACUUGGAAGAAAUAGGGCAGGGAGGGCCCCCUAGAGGACAUAGAGCAGAGUCACAGAGACAAGAACCUUAGGGUAAAGGAGAGCUCGAUUCUGGAGCUGACUGGGAAAUCCAUGUUCAGAGGAAUUAAAGAAAUGGAGAUGCCCCUUAUGUCAAAUUAGCCUUCUGAGUUCAUGUCUAGGUGCUGGCAUGUGCCAGAGUUCCCGUCGUGGCGCAGUGGUUAACGAAUCCGACUAGGAACCAUGAGGUUGUGGGUUCGAUCCCUGCCCUUGCUCAGUGGGUUAACAGUCCGGCGCUGCCGUGAGCUGUGGUGUAGGUUGCAGACGUGGCUCGGAUCCCGUGUUGCUGUGGCUCUGGCGUAGGCCAGUGGCUACAGCUCCGAUUCAACCCCUAGCCUGGGAACCUCCAUAUGCCGUGGGAGCGGCCCAAGAAAU
Molecule: long non-coding RNA, 4170 nt
Filed under: Sus scrofa (pig)
Lineage: Eukaryota; Metazoa; Chordata; Mammalia; Artiodactyla; Suidae
Description: lncRNA (ENSSSCG00055002559.1, ENSSSCG00105004859.1)
Source: RNAcentral